AAGGCGCCCCUUUGCAAUCAGUGGUUACUAACCAUUUCCAUAGUCAAAAAGGUUCGAGGGGCCUUGGAUUUUCCUCAAUCAGUCUAUGGUUUUUUAAGAUUUGUAAGUAGAAAUUUUUUAUCACAUAGCCCUUGUUAUUAGCUUUCCAAAAAGCUAAAGCUUGAUCAAUUUGGAGUUGAACCGAAUUUUUGGUGAAUUUUUGAGUGCAAAAAGAGCAGCCGCCUUAGCAGUUUUAGUAAUCCAACUUUGAAAAUGCAUUUCUCAGUGUCACUUAUUAGGAUCGUUUUAAAAUUUUGGAAAUAAAAACAACUUAAAAUUAAGCUUCUAUUGGCAUAGAUUUUAUUGAAUUUGAAGCAAUUGUGAAAUUUUAAAAAAAAAUU
This 380-nucleotide long non-coding RNA is filed under the name Physcomitrium patens. Its description in RNAcentral is "long non-coding RNA (PPAT_LNC005352)". The record is from RNAcentral. Lineage: Eukaryota; Viridiplantae; Streptophyta; Bryopsida; Funariales; Funariaceae.